This 80-nucleotide transfer RNA is filed under the name Diaphorina citri (Asian citrus psyllid). It matches the Rfam family "tRNA". Rfam says of the family: Transfer RNA (tRNA) molecules are approximately 80 nucleotides in length. Their secondary structure includes four short double-helical elements and three loops (D, anti-codon, and T loops). Further hydrogen bonds mediate the characteristic L-shaped molecular structure. tRNAs have two regions of fundamental functional importance: the anti-codon, which is responsible for specific mRNA codon recognition, and the 3' end, to which the tRNAs corresponding amino acid is attached (by aminoacyl-tRNA synthetases). tRNAs cope with the degeneracy of the genetic code in two manners: having more than one tRNA (with a specific anti-codon) for a particular amino acid; and 'wobble' base-pairing, i.e. permitting non-standard base-pairing at the 3rd anti-codon position. The record is from Rfam by way of RNAcentral. Lineage: Eukaryota; Metazoa; Arthropoda; Insecta; Hemiptera; Psyllidae.
GCCUAGUUAGCUUAGUUGGUAGUGCAUCUGCCUUGUAAGCGCUAGGCCGCGGGCCGCGGGUUCGAUUCCCGCCCGGGGCG